AGUGAACGCUGGCGGUAGGCCUAACACAUGCAAGUCGAACGGCAGCACAGAGGAGCUUGCUCCUUGGGUGGCGAGUGGCGGACGGGUGAGGAAUACAUCGGAAUCUACUCUGUCGUGGGGGGUAACGUAGGGAAACUUACGCUAAUACCGCAUACGACCUACGGGUGAAAGCAGGGGACCUUCGGGCCUUGCGCGAUUGAAUGAGCCGAUGUCGGAUUAGCUAGUUGGCGGGGUAAAGGCCCACCAAGGCGACGAUCCGUAGCUGGUCUGAGAGGAGGAUCAGCCACACUGGAACUGAGACACGGUCCAGACUCCUACGGGAGGCAGCAGUGGGGAAUACUGGACAAUGGGCGCAAGCCUGAUCCAGCCAUACCGCGUGGGUGAAGAAGGCCUUCGGGUUGUAAAGCCCUUUUGUUGGGAAAGAAAUCCAGCUGGCUAAUACCCGGUUGGGAUGACGGUACCCAAAGAAUAAGCACCGGCUAACUUCGUGCCAGCCGCCGCCGUAA
Molecule: ribosomal RNA, 506 nt
Filed under: uncultured bacterium
Lineage: Bacteria
Description: partial 16S ribosomal RNA
Rfam family: Bacterial small subunit ribosomal RNA
Source: RNAcentral